GAUGAACGCUGGCGGCGUGCUUAACACAUGCAAGUCGAACGGAAAGGCCCAAGCUUGCUUGGGUACUCGAGUGGCGAACGGGUGAGUAACACGUGGGUGAUCUGCCCUGCACUUCGGGAUAAGCCUGGGAAACUGGGUCUAAUACCGGAUAGGACCACAUUUUGGAUGGUGUGGUGGAAAGUUUUUCGGUGUGGGAUGAGCUCGCGGCCUAUCAGCUUGUUGGUGGGGUAAUGGCCUACCAAGGCGUCGACGGGUAGCCGGCCUGAGAGGGUGUACGGCCACAUUGGGACGGAGAUACGGCCCAGACUCCUACGGGAGGCAGCAGUGGGGAAUAUUGCACAAUGGGCGCAAGCCUGAUGCAGCGACGCCGCGUGGGGGAUGACGGCCUUCGGGUUGUAAACUCCUUUCGCUAGGGACGAAGCGUUUUUGUGACGGUACCUGGGGAAGAAGCACCGGCUAACUACGUG
Molecule: ribosomal RNA, 467 nt
Filed under: uncultured bacterium
Lineage: Bacteria
Description: partial 16S ribosomal RNA
Rfam family: Bacterial small subunit ribosomal RNA
Source: RNAcentral